GUGCCAGCAGCCGCGGUAAUACGUAGGUGGCAAGCGUUGUCCGGAAUUAUUGGGCGUAAAGCGCGCGCAGGCGGUCUUUUAAGUCUGAUGUGAAAUCUCGGGGCUCAACCCCGAGCGGUCAUUGGAAACUGGGAGACUUGAGUACAGAAGAGGAGAGUGGAAUUCCACGUGUAGCGGUGAAAUGCGUAGAUAUGUGGAGGAACACCAGUGGCGAAGGCGACUCUCUGGUCUGUAACUGACGCUGAGGCGCGAAAGCGUGGGGAGCAAACAGGAUUAGAUACCCUGGUAGUCC
This 292-nucleotide ribosomal RNA is filed under the name uncultured microorganism. RNAcentral describes it as "partial 16S ribosomal RNA". It matches the Rfam family "Bacterial small subunit ribosomal RNA", at positions 505 to 796 of the family's 1533-position model. The record is from RNAcentral.